This 764-nucleotide ribosomal RNA is filed under the name uncultured bacterium. RNAcentral's name for it is "bacterial SSU rRNA". It matches the Rfam family "Bacterial small subunit ribosomal RNA", at positions 1 to 807 of the family's 1533-position model. The record is from RNAcentral.
UUCGCCCUUAGAGUUUGAUCCUGGCUCAGAGCGAACGCUGGCGGCAGGCUUAACACAUGCAAGUCGAGCGGGCGUAGCAAUACGUCAGCGGCAGACGGGUGAGUAACGCGUGGGAACGUACCUUUUGGUUCGGAACAACACAGGGAAACUUGUGCUAAUACCGGAUAAGCCCUUACGGGGAAAGAUUUAUCGCCGAAAGAUCGGCCCGCGUCUGAUUAGCUAGUUGGUGAGGUAACGGCUCACCAAGGCGACGAUCAGUAGCUGGUCUGAGAGGAUGAUCAGCCACAUUGGGACUGAGACACGGCCCAAACUCCUACGGGAGGCAGCAGUGGGGAAUAUUGGACAAUGGGGGCAACCCUGAUCCAGCCAUGCCGCGUGAGUGAUGAAGGCCCUAGGGUUGUAAAGCUCUUUUGUGCGGGAAGAUAAUGACGGUACCGCAAGAAUAAGCCCCGGCUAACUUCGUGCCAGCAGCCGCGGUAAUACGAAGGGGGCUAGCGUUGCUCGGAAUCACUGGGCGUAAAGGGUGCGUAGGCGGAUCUUUAAGUCAGAGGUGAAAGCCUGGAGCUCAACUCCAGAACUGCCUUUGAUACUGGGGAUCUUGAGUUCGGGAGAGGUGAGUGGAACUGCGAGUGUAGAGGUGAAAUUCGUAGAUAUUCGCAAGAACACCAGUGGCGAAGGCGGCUCACUGGCCCGAUACUGACGCUGAGGCACGAAAGCGUGGGGAGCAAACAGGAUUAGACACCCUGGUAGUCCACGCCGUAAAC